This 593-nucleotide ribosomal RNA is filed under the name Aspergillus flavus. Its description in RNAcentral is "eukaryotic LSU rRNA". The stretch from base 238 to 391 matches the Rfam family "5.8S ribosomal RNA". The record is from RNAcentral. Lineage: Eukaryota; Fungi; Ascomycota; Eurotiomycetes; Eurotiales; Aspergillaceae.
AGAACCCUACACUCGUAAUGACCCUCCGGGUAGUGAACCUGCGGAAGGAUCAUUACCGAGUGUAGGGUUCCUAGCGAGCCCAACCUCCCACCCGUGUUUACUGUACCUUAGUUGCUUCGGCGGGCCCGCCAUUCAUGGCCGCCGGGGGCUCUCAGCCCCGGGCCCGCGCCCGCCGGAGACACCACGAACUCUGUCUGAUCUAGUGAAGUCUGAGUUGAUUGUAUCGCAAUCAGUUAAAACUUUCAACAAUGGAUCUCUUGGUUCCGGCAUCGAUGAAGAACGCAGCGAAAUGCGAUAACUAGUGUGAAUUGCAGAAUUCCGUGAAUCAUCGAGUCUUUGAACGCACAUUGCGCCCCCUGGUAUUCCGGGGGGCAUGCCUGUCCGAGCGUCAUUGCUGCCCAUCAAGCACGGCUUGUGUGUUGGGUCGUCGUCCCCUCUCCGGGGGGGACGGGCCCCAAAGGCAGCGGCGGCACCGCGUCCGAUCCUCGAGCGUAUGGGGCUUUGUCACCCGCUCUGUAGGCCCGGCCGGCGCUUGCCGAACGCAAAUCAAUCUUUUUCCAGGUUGACCUCGGAUCAGGUAGGGAUACCCGCUG